GAGGGUAUAGCUCAAGUGAUACAGCGCAUGCUUAGCAUGCAGGAAGUCCUGGGUUCAAUCCCCAGUACUUCCU
This 73-nucleotide transfer RNA is filed under the name Camelus bactrianus (Bactrian camel). It matches the Rfam family "tRNA". Rfam says of the family: Transfer RNA (tRNA) molecules are approximately 80 nucleotides in length. RNAcentral also lists the same sequence under 2 other names. Lineage: Eukaryota; Metazoa; Chordata; Mammalia; Artiodactyla; Camelidae. The record is from Rfam by way of RNAcentral.